Molecule: ribosomal RNA, 885 nt
Filed under: Brachybacterium paraconglomeratum
Lineage: Bacteria; Bacillati; Actinomycetota; Actinomycetes; Micrococcales; Dermabacteraceae
Description: bacterial SSU rRNA
Rfam family: Bacterial small subunit ribosomal RNA
Source: RNAcentral
AGCCGCGGUAAUACGUAGGGCGCAAGCGUUGUCCGGAAUUAUUGGGCGUAAAGAGCUUGUAGGUGGCUUGUCGCGUCUGCCGUGAAAACCCGAGGCUCAACCUCGGGCGUGCGGUGGGUACGGGCAGGCUAGAGUGUGGUAGGGGAGACUGGAACUCCUGGUGUAGCGGUGAAAUGCGCAGAUAUCAGGAAGAACACCGAUGGCGAAGGCAGGUCUCUGGGCCAUUACUGACACUGAGAAGCGAAAGCAUGGGUAGCGAACAGGAUUAGAUACCCUGGUAGUCCAUGCCGUAAACGUUGGGCACUAGGUGUGGGGGACAUUCCACGUUUUCCGCGCCGUAGCUAACGCAUUAAGUGCCCCGCCUGGGGAGUACGGCCGCAAGGCUAAAACUCAAAGGAAUUGACGGGGGCCCGCACAAGCGGCGGAGCAUGCUGAUUAAUUCGAUGCAACGCGAAGAACCUUACCAAGGCUUGACAUGCACUGGACGGCUGCAGAGAUGUGGCUUUCUUUGGACUGGUGCACAGGUGGUGCAUGGUUGUCGUCAGCUCGUGUCGUGAGAUGUUGGGUUAAGUCCCGCAACGAGCGCAACCCUCGUUCUAUGUUGCCAGCACGUGAUGGUGGGGACUCAUAGGAGACUGCCGGGGUCAACUCGGAGGAAGGUGGGGACGACGUCAAAUCAUCAUGCCCCUUAUGUCUUGGGCUUCAAGCAUGCUACAAUGGUCGGUACAAUGGGUUGCGAAACUGUGAGGUGGAGCGAAUCCCAAAAAGCCGGCCUCAGUUCGGAUUGGGGUCUGCAACUCGACCCCAUGAAGUCGGAGUCGCUAGUAAUCGCAGAUCAGCAACGCUGCGGUGAAUACGUUCCCGGGCCUUGUACACACCGCCCGU